UUUAUGGAGAGUUUGAUCCUGGCUCAGGAUGAACGCUGGCGGCGUGCCUAAUACAUGCAAGUCGAGCGAACGGACGAGAAGCUUGCUUCUCUGAUGUUAGCGGCGGACGGGUGAGUAACACGUGGAUAACCUACCUAUAAGACUGGGAUAACUUCGGGAAACCGGAGCUAAUACCGGAUAAUAUUUUGAACCGCAUGGUUCAAAAGUGAAAGACGGUCUUGCUGUCACUUAUAGAUGGAUCCGCGCUGCAUUAGCUAGUUGGUAAGGUAACGGCUUACCAAGGCAACGAUGCAUAGCCGACCUGAGAGGGUGAUCGGCCACACUGGAACUGAGACACGGUCCAGACUCCUACGGGAGGCAGCAGUAGGGAAUCUUCCGCAAUGGGCGAAAGCCUGACGGAGCAACGCCGCGUGAGUGAUGAAGGUCUUCGGAUCGUAAAACUCUGUUAUUAGGGAAGAACAUAUGUGUAAGUAACUGUGCACAUCUUGACGGUACCUAAUCAGAAAGCCACGGCUAACUACGUGCCAGCAGCCGCGGUAAUACGUAGGUGGCAAGCGUUAUCCGGAAUUAUUGGGCGUAAAGCGCGCGUAGGCGGUUUUUUAAGUCUGAUGUGAAAGCCCACGGCUCAACCGUGGAGGGUCAUUGGAAACUGGAAAACUUGAGUGCAGAAGAGGAAAGUGGAAUUCCAUGUGUAGCGGUGAAAUGCGCAGAGAUAUGGAGGAACACCAGUGGCGAAGGCGACUUUCUGGUCUGUAACUGACGCUGAUGUGCGAAAGCGUGGGGAUCAAACAGGAUUAGAUACCCUGGUAGUCCACGCCGUAAACGAUGAGUGCUAAGUGUUAGGGGGUUUCCGCCCCUUAGUGCUGCAGCUAACGCAUUAAGCACUCCGCCUGGGGAGUACGACCGCAAGGUUGAAACUCAAAGGAAUUGACGGGGACCCGCACAAGCGGUGGAGCAUGUGGUUUAAUUCGAAGCAACGCGAAGAACCUUACCAAAUCUUGACAUCCUUUGACAACUCUAGAGAUAGAGCCUUCCCCUUCGGGGGACAAAGUGACAGGUGGUGCAUGGUUGUCGUCAGCUCGUGUCGUGAGAUGUUGGGUUAAGUCCCGCAACGAGCGCAACCCUUAAGCUUAGUUGCCAUCAUUAAGUUGGGCACUCUAAGUUGACUGCCGGUGACAAACCGGAGGAAGGUGGGGAUGACGUCAAAUCAUCAUGCCCCUUAUGAUUUGGGCUACACACGUGCUACAAUGGACAAUACAAAGGGCAGC
RNAcentral lists this ribosomal RNA (1268 nucleotides) under Staphylococcus aureus. Its description in RNAcentral is "bacterial SSU rRNA". It matches the Rfam family "Bacterial small subunit ribosomal RNA", at positions 1 to 1250 of the family's 1533-position model. The record is from RNAcentral. Lineage: Bacteria; Bacillati; Bacillota; Bacilli; Caryophanales; Staphylococcaceae.